UGGUUUUCGUGUCUACCUGUGUCACCGUGUUAGAAAAUAGAAAGGGAAACAGAGACUAAGAAAGACGUGUCCACCGACUUUCUGGGAUGAAGCAUUGAAGAUCCUUCCAUUUAUGUUUCUAUAAUGGGACAUCACUGUCGCGUGAGAGCGGACCAACUACAAGUGAUGAUUUAUAUACAAGAGAUGAUCAUGAUGAGGAGCUUUGGGUGA
Non-coding RNA from Lupinus albus (white lupine), 210 nucleotides. Lineage: Eukaryota; Viridiplantae; Streptophyta; Magnoliopsida; Fabales; Fabaceae. The record is from the annotation of a GenBank genome assembly.